UUCUCAUCCAAUCACCAAAGUUAAGCAAUGUAGAGCCUGCUCAGUACUUAGAUGGGUAACCACUUGGGAAUACCAGGUGCUGUAA
This is a non-coding RNA of Acanthosepion pharaonis, 85 nucleotides long. The record is from the annotation of a GenBank genome assembly. NCBI's taxonomy places the organism in Eukaryota, Metazoa, Mollusca, Cephalopoda, Sepiida, Sepiidae.